UAAAUCUCUCCUUUGGGUGUCCGCAUAACUCUUCUACCUGCUCUGAGCCGUUUGAAUGUUCUUCCUGAUCUUAACUAUCUUGGAUAUAGUCUCCUCUACUAGCUCCGGGCCAAACAAUUUUCUAUCGCCCACUUCUUCCCAACAAAUCGGCGAUCUGCAUGGGCGCCCAUAUAACGCCUCAUACGGAGCCAUGCCAAUGCUCACUUAGUAGCUGUUGUUGUAGGCAAACUCUAUCAGGGGUAGAUGGUCAUCCCAAUAGCCCCCAAAAUUAAGGACACAAGCUCAAAGCAUAUUCUU
Molecule: long non-coding RNA, 297 nt
Filed under: Carica papaya (papaya)
Lineage: Eukaryota; Viridiplantae; Streptophyta; Magnoliopsida; Brassicales; Caricaceae
Description: long non-coding RNA (CPAP_LNC016367)
Source: RNAcentral